Non-coding RNA from Danio rerio (zebrafish), 490 nucleotides. NCBI's taxonomy places the organism in Eukaryota, Metazoa, Chordata, Actinopteri, Cypriniformes, Danionidae. The record is from RefSeq and is a predicted model, not a curated record.
CUCCAUCAGUGGCAUCAAAGAUUUCACCGCAAUUGUCAAUGUUCACCAAACCAAGAUUUUCCGGAUCCCACAUUGCUGCAGCAAAGCCAAAUCUUAGUGUGGCUAGAAGACCAUCACAGGCUGAUGUCCAGCCCAGUUCAGCAGUGUGUAGUGCUUCUACACCAAGCACGGCUACACAGGACCUUCAAGUUUCUGCCCCCGUCCUCACAUCCACUGCGGCAGUGACCAGUUCCACAGAGCCGUCCGGCAUUGUCUCAGUAAGUAAUUUCAUAUUUUCUGUCCAAAAAAAGGUAAUUUGGUUUGCAUAUUUGCUGCCCCAGCUGAAUUCACGCAAAGUGGUUUUAAGACCAGCCAAUUAAAUUGACUUGAUGUUAAUUAACUAAGCUUGAUAUAUGUAUAAAUGUUAACAAAAUAAAGAGAGGAAAAAAUAAAGCAAAGAAUCACAAAAAUUAUGCCUUCUGCUGUUGAUAUUUUAUGUUCACAGUGGUAA